GCGCGGCCCCUCCCCCCGGCUCCCCUCCGCUCAUGCGCUGUGGGCCGCAAUAGCCCCUGGUGCCGCCCAGCCCGGAAGCCGCCAGAAAAAGGAGCCACAAAAGGCCGGGAAAGGGGAUGGCGUGCAGCAUCAGCAGCCAUCCUGUCUGUCCUGCUCCUAAGCCCUAGGGUGGGCCGAAGGUGAGCUGCUUCUUUUCAAGGCUGAAGUCCUCAGGUCCUGACCUCCACUCCAGAGUUCCUCCACAGAAGCCUGGGGCCUAGCACAGAUCUGACUUAAAGGAUGAGCAGGCAGAAGUGGCCCAGAGUCACAAAUCCCUGAGAUUUGUUAGGAGUACGGAGUACUCACCUGGUGGGCUACAGUGUCUGCAGCAUCCCGUCAAUACUACCUCCAACAUUCAUCAUCAAAUCAGCAUGCUUCUCUUCACUUCUACUGCCACUGCGUAGGCACACCUGGCCUACUGCCAGCAACUCUCCACAGGUCUUCCUGCUUCUGUGUUGGCACCCUACAAGCCACUGUCAGUGAGUGGCUAGAUAGGAUCUUAUUUUUAAAAUCGAUUGGUCG
Molecule: long non-coding RNA, 561 nt
Organism: Myotis davidii
Lineage: Eukaryota; Metazoa; Chordata; Mammalia; Chiroptera; Vespertilionidae
Exons: 3
Source: RefSeq, a predicted model, not a curated record